RNAcentral lists this transfer RNA (88 nucleotides) under Hyacinthoides hispanica. Its description in RNAcentral is "tRNA-Ser". It matches the Rfam family "tRNA". Rfam says of the family: Transfer RNA (tRNA) molecules are approximately 80 nucleotides in length. RNAcentral also lists the same sequence under 5 other names. Lineage: Eukaryota; Viridiplantae; Streptophyta; Magnoliopsida; Asparagales; Asparagaceae. The record is from RNAcentral.
GGAGAGGUGGCUGAGUGGUUGAUAGCUCCGGUCUUGAAAACCGGUAUAGUCAAGAUAACUAUCGAGGGUUCGAAUCCCUCUCUCUCCU